RNAcentral lists this transfer RNA (73 nucleotides) under Trogloglanis pattersoni (toothless blindcat). RNAcentral describes it as "tRNA-Ile". Lineage: Eukaryota; Metazoa; Chordata; Actinopteri; Siluriformes; Ictaluridae. The record is from RNAcentral.
GGAGCUGUGCCUGAAUGACACAAGGACCACUUUGAUAGAGUGAACCACGGAGACUAAAAUCCUCCCAGCUCCU